CUGGCUCAGGAUGAACGCUAGCGACAGGCCUAACACAUGCAAGUCGAGGGGCAGCGGGAGUGAAGCUGCUCACUGCCGGCGACCGGCGCACGGGUGAGUAACGCGUAUGCAACCUGCCUGUAACAGGGGGAUAACCCGGAGAAAUCCGGACUAAGACCGCAUAACGCUGAGAAGCCGCAUGACUUUUCAGCCAAAUAUCAUAGGUUACAGAUGGGCAUGCGUCCGAUUAGCCAGUUGGCGGGGUAACGGCCCACCAAAGCGACGAUCGGUAGGGGUUCUGAGAGGAAGGUCCCCCACAUUGGAACUGAGACACGGUCCAAACUCCUACGGGAGGCAGCAGUGAGGAAUAUUGGUCAAUGGACGGAAGUCUGAACCAGCCAUGUCGCGUGAAAAGGAUGAAGGUACUAUGUAUUGUAAACUUCUUUGCCUGGGGGUAAAGUGGGUCACGCGUGGCCUAUUGCAAGUACCAGGCGAAUAAGCAUCGGCUAACUCCGUGCCAGCCGCCGC
Molecule: ribosomal RNA, 507 nt
Filed under: uncultured bacterium
Lineage: Bacteria
Description: bacterial SSU rRNA
Rfam family: Bacterial small subunit ribosomal RNA
Source: RNAcentral